CAAUAGCGUAUAUUAAAGUUGUUGCAGUUAAAAAGCUCGUAGUUGGAUUUCGGGGCAGCCUGGCUGGUCCGCCGCAGGGCGAGUACUGGUCAGCCGCCCUUCCUCUCGAAAGCCCCGACUGCUCUUCAUUGCAGUGGUCGGGUAGUUCGGGACGUUUACUUUGAAAAAAUUAGAGUGUUCAAGGCAGGCCUACGCCUGAAUACAUUAGCAUGGAAUAAUGGAAGAGGACCUCGGUCCUAUUUUGUUGGUUUCCAGGGCCGAAGUAAUGAUUAAGAGGGACAGUUGGGGGCAUUCGUAUUUAAUUGUCAGAGGUGAAAUUCUCGGAUUUAUGAAAGACGAACAACUGCGAAAGCAUUUGCCAAGGAUGUUUUCAUUAA
RNAcentral lists this ribosomal RNA (377 nucleotides) under uncultured eukaryote. RNAcentral's name for it is "partial 18S ribosomal RNA". It matches the Rfam family "Eukaryotic small subunit ribosomal RNA", at positions 592 to 976 of the family's 1831-position model. The record is from RNAcentral.